ACUUUUUUAUUAUAUUUUGUAUAUUUGAUUUCCAAUCAAAAGGUUUUUAGAAGUA
This 55-nucleotide transfer RNA is filed under the name Sinentomon erythranum. Its description in RNAcentral is "tRNA-Gly". The record is from RNAcentral. Lineage: Eukaryota; Metazoa; Arthropoda; Protura; Sinentomata; Sinentomidae.